UGCUCACGAAAGCCAAGCUUGUCCCAUUUCCACUCUUGGACACUUGAUGUUACCCCAAACACCGGCAGCCGCAGACCCAAGGGAAAAUUAGAAUUUAAGAAAAAAAAAUGGAUUCUUAAGUUGACAGCACUUUGAGCUGAACUUGGGGUAUUUUGAGUUCAGUUGCAUGGCCAAGGGCAGAACUACCUCUAGUGGGAGGACAAUCAUCUUGUGCUUUUCCAGACUCAUUUUUUUGAAAAGUUGAGUGAAAAAUGGUAUAGAUGUACAGAGGACUCCCCUGGCCAGCAUGCUGCCUGGGAGACUCAGCGCUCCUUACGAAUCCUCUACGUCCAUUUAGACCAAGCGAAAACACAUUUUCUUGGUUAUCUACAUGAGAGUAUUGGACUCGCUUCUUGAAUGCACCACAGAUGAAUCAACGACUCAUAGACUUUCUUGCCAUUCUUCGACCUUACGGGACAAGACCUGGACAAGAAAGACCAUGGCUCUGGAUGCUUCUGCAAGACCUCCUCUCUUUUUCUCUCCAGUCUCCUUAGGAUUCAAAAUAUCACUCCUGUCCUGGCUGAAGCAGACCAGUGGCCCCUUAGAAGAGUGUUCGCCAUGGAAAGCAUCUUGUUUUACAUAUUUGGCACAGAAUGUGUCUUGAUCUCAUUCCCCACAGCUGGCUCCGUGCUAGUUCACUAACAGCUCCAUUUACUGGGAAGGAACAGAGAGUCCCGGGGAUGCUUUAGACAAGUGGUUGGUCAGCCCCAGCAGCCAACAGCUAAGUGAAUGCUGUUUUUAUAAACCAUCCCCACUGCCCCCACCUAAUUUAUGGAGCUUGGAAAUAAAAAAUAGAAGCGAGGUAAUGGAGAACUGUCAAUCAUUACAUCAAGAGGUUUUAAUCGGAGGCAGAUAGAUCUCCAGGUAUCUGAGAAAUUGCAAAAAUCUGAGGUUAGGA
This is a long non-coding RNA of Canis lupus familiaris (dog), 937 nucleotides long. RefSeq lists it as uncharacterized. The transcript has 3 exons. The record is from RefSeq and is a predicted model, not a curated record. NCBI's taxonomy places the organism in Eukaryota, Metazoa, Chordata, Mammalia, Carnivora, Canidae.